GCGGGCUUGGUAUAGGGGUUGUGCCUUAGCCUUCCAAGCUAAAGAGACGGGUUCGAAUCCCGUAGCCCGCUCCA
RNAcentral lists this transfer RNA (74 nucleotides) under Telmatospirillum sp. Its description in RNAcentral is "tRNA-Gly". It matches the Rfam family "tRNA". From Rfam's summary of the family: Transfer RNA (tRNA) molecules are approximately 80 nucleotides in length. Their secondary structure includes four short double-helical elements and three loops (D, anti-codon, and T loops). Further hydrogen bonds mediate the characteristic L-shaped molecular structure. tRNAs have two regions of fundamental functional importance: the anti-codon, which is responsible for specific mRNA codon recognition, and the 3' end, to which the tRNAs corresponding amino acid is attached (by aminoacyl-tRNA synthetases). tRNAs cope with the degeneracy of the genetic code in two manners: having more than one tRNA (with a specific anti-codon) for a particular amino acid; and 'wobble' base-pairing, i.e. permitting non-standard base-pairing at the 3rd anti-codon position. Lineage: Bacteria; Pseudomonadati; Pseudomonadota; Alphaproteobacteria; Rhodospirillales; Rhodospirillaceae. The record is from RNAcentral.